UACGGAGGGGGCUAGCGUUGUUCGGAAUUACUGGGCGUAAAGCGCACGUAGGCGGAUUAGUAAGUCGGAGGUGAAAUCCCGGGGCUCAACCUCGGAACUGCCUUUGAUACUGUCAGUCUCGAGUCCGAGAGAGGUGAGUGGAAUUCCUAGUGUAGAGGUGAAAUUCGUAGAUAUUAGGAAGAACACCAGUGGCGAAGGCGGCUCACUGGCUCGGUACUGACGCUGAGGUGCGAAAGCGUGGGGAGCAAACAGG
This 253-nucleotide ribosomal RNA is filed under the name uncultured bacterium. RNAcentral's name for it is "partial 16S ribosomal RNA". It matches the Rfam family "Bacterial small subunit ribosomal RNA", at positions 524 to 776 of the family's 1533-position model. The record is from RNAcentral.